CCGGGCCUCGGGGACCGCGCAGGGCGAGGCCCGGGCUGUCCUCCUCCCGUGUCACGUCGCUACAGCCGAGCGACAUGAAGGCGACGCCGAACGCCAUCCCCAGGUCCCGCCGAAGCCCCUGGCUCUGAACAGGUCCCAGAGCCCCUGUCCCAGAAGCCUCAGACCUUUUCCCGGAUUUGUAAUUCAUCUGCAGUGAUGGAAAGUUCUGGAUCUUAAUCAGUGGUGACCAUGCUUCAGCCUCUGGCCAAGCCAGGACCUUCAGCCUCUGGAAGCCCUGGGCCCCAAGCACCUGAGUUUAUGAGACGCUAUGUAGGAGGUGUGGAGAAACUCCUCUCAAAUCUUUUUAAAGCUGCUCUCAGCCUGUUCUCCUAGCUUACCUCUAUUCCUCUCUGUCACCCACCAACCUAAGAAGCCCUCCCUACCAGGCAACCCACAGCCACACUUUCCUAUGAUCCAGAGAGGGUAACAGACGCCAAGGGAUGGAACUCUCACUCAACGAAGACCAGACCAGAAAUCAGCAUCUACAGGCACCUCAAUCAAGCUAAGCCCCAAUGCCUACACACCAGUGCAAAACCCACAAUGACCCAGGAGCCCUACCCUACUAUAGUAAGCCAUAAGAAAGGCAAUAUAGC
This 632-nucleotide long non-coding RNA is filed under the name Mus pahari (shrew mouse). Its description in RNAcentral is "lncRNA (MGP_PahariEiJ_G0002501.1)". Lineage: Eukaryota; Metazoa; Chordata; Mammalia; Rodentia; Muridae. The record is from RNAcentral.